This 510-nucleotide ribosomal RNA is filed under the name fungal endophyte sp. DM191. RNAcentral's name for it is "eukaryotic LSU rRNA". It matches the Rfam family "Eukaryotic large subunit ribosomal RNA", at positions 102 to 636 of the family's 3401-position model. The record is from RNAcentral. Lineage: Eukaryota; Fungi.
CAACAGCUCAAAUUUGAAAUCUGGCCCUAGGCCCGAGUUGUAAUUUGCAGAGGAUGCUUUUGGUGAGGUGCCUUCCAAGUUCCCUAGAACGGGACGCCAGAGAGGGUGAGAGCCCCGUACAGUUGGACACCAAGCCUUUGUAAAGCUCCUUCGACGAGUCGAGUAGUUUGGGAAUGCUGCUCAAAAUGGGAGGUAUAUUUCUUCUAAAGCUAAAUACCGGCCAGAGACCGAUAGCGCACAAGUAGAGUGAUCGAAAGAUGAAAAGCACUUUGAAAAGAGGGUUAAACAGCACGUGAAAUUGUUAAAAGGGAAGCGCUUGUGACCAGACUUGCGUCCGGUGAAUCACCCAGCUCUCGCGGCUGGGGCACUUCGCCGGCUCAGGCCAGCAUCAGCUCGCUGUCGGGGACAAAAGCUUCAGGAACGUAGCUCUCUUCGGGGAGUGUUAUAGCCUGUUGCACAAUACCCUUCGGCGGGCUGAGGUACGCGCUCCGCAAGGAUGCUGGCAUAAUG